GAUGAAGAACGCAGCGAAAUGCGAUACGUAAUGUGAAUUGCAGAAUUCAGUGAAUCAUCGAAUCUUUGAACGCAUAUUGCGCUCUCUGGUAUUCCGGAGAGCAUGCUUGUUUGAGUAUCAGUAAACACCUCAACUUCCAUAUCUUUUUUUGAAAUGGGAGUUGGACUUGAGUGAUCCCAACGCUUUUCCUCACCGAAAAGUGGCGGGUUACUUGAAAUGCAGGUGCAGCUGGACUUUUCUCUGAGCUAUAAGCAUAUCUAUUUAGUCUGCCUAAAAAACAGAUUAUUACCUGUGCUGCAGCUAACAUAAAGGAGAUUAGUUCUUGUGCUGACUGAUGCAGGAUUCACAAAGACAGCUUCGGCCGACUUUGUAAACUCGAUCUCAAAUCAAGUAAGACUACCCGCUGAACUUAAGCAUAUCAAUAAGCGGAGGA
Molecule: unclassified non-coding RNA, 433 nt
Filed under: soil metagenome
Description: partial contains 5.8S ribosomal RNA, internal transcribed spacer 2, and large subunit ribosomal RNA
Rfam family: 5.8S ribosomal RNA (bases 1-120)
Source: RNAcentral